UCUCAGAUCAUGUGCUUUGUUUGCUAUUUUCAAGUCGUUAGGUAAGCACACAGGCAGGAAGAGGACGGCGCAGAAGAACGCAAGGCAUGAGCGCACCUCUGGUGCUUUAAAGGAGGUGGUGUGAGAAAAAUGGAUUAAUGCAACUGCAGUAAGAAUCAAUCAGGAAAAAUGAGAGAAAAAUGCAGAAGAAGAGAAAAACCAGCAAAGCAGUAGAGUAGAAAGUAGAGGUACUUCUGCUCUGAGCAGAUGUUGAAGUUAAAUGCAAAUACCUAAAACCCAGAUGCCAAAGGAACAGAGGAAAGAGUGUUGAACAGACUGCUUGUUUUGGAGAAAAAGGUUAAAUUAGCUCUUCCUUGAGCUCCACUGUGAUGAACAGACAGGGAAGAUGUUGGUGUUACCAUUCCAGCAGAAUGAUGGAAGACUCCUCACUCCUCUUUUCCAAGUCCAAUUUUGAGCUCACCAUUUCCUAUGCAAACUUUAGCUGUGAACUCUGGAUAGCUACAGGCCAUAAAAGAGCCUGAAAAUUUACAAAACAAACAACAGCCUGUGAACUUCCACAUGGGAAUCCCUCAGACAUCAGUAAAAAUCCACACUACCAAAACACUACCCAGACCUAAAACACCAAGCACAUGGUACAAGACAUCACACCACACACCUGUGUAUCCAGUUUUGGACUGGGAAGUGUUUUCCUUACAUGCAAUUUAUGACUUGUGUUUCAAUACAUACUAUUUAUGAUGCAGGCCGUUUUUUUGUUUAAUUUUUUUUAGUUUGCCUGUUUGCUUUUUUUUAAAUUCACAUUGACUACUGCAAUGAACAAUACUCUGCUUCAGAGACAGAGUGCUGUUCCAAACUCAAGAUAACAACCAAAGGCAUGGGAAAACAUCACCUUUGCAACAUAUAAUUUAGAUUUGUUCAAUAAUAUUAGGUGACAUUUUCAAAGCUGCCACUAAAAGGAGAUACUGCAUGCAUGACCAACUCAGCAUAUUCUAUGAU
Haemorhous mexicanus (house finch) is the source of this 993-nucleotide long non-coding RNA. RefSeq lists it as uncharacterized. Lineage: Eukaryota; Metazoa; Chordata; Aves; Passeriformes; Fringillidae. The record is from RefSeq and is a predicted model, not a curated record. The transcript is spliced from 3 exons.